This 487-nucleotide ribosomal RNA is filed under the name uncultured bacterium. RNAcentral's name for it is "bacterial SSU rRNA". It matches the Rfam family "Bacterial small subunit ribosomal RNA", at positions 28 to 507 of the family's 1533-position model. The record is from RNAcentral.
GAUGAACGCUAGCGGCAGGCUUAAUACAUGCAAGUCGUGGGGCAGCAUGAGUAGCAAUACUUGAUGGCGACCGGCAAACGGGUGAGGAACACGUACACAACCUUCCUUCAAGCGGGGAAUAGCCCAGAGAAAUUUGGAUUAAUACCCCAUAAUAUAUUUGAUAAGGCAUCUUAUUAAUAUUAAAGCUUCGGCACUUGAUGAUGGGUGUGCGGCUGAUUAGAUAGUUGGCGGGGUAACGGCCCACCAAGUCUACGAUCAGUAGCUGGUGUGAGAGCAUGAUCAGCCACACGGGCACUGAGACACGGGCCCGACUCCUACGGGAGGCAGCAGUAAGGAAUAUUGGACAAUGGACGAAAGUCUGAUCCAGCCAUGCCGCGUGAAGGAUUAAGGUCCUCUGGAUUGUAAACUUCUUUAUAUGGGAACGAAAAAAAGGGCAUUCUUUGUUCACUUGACGGUACCAUAUGAAUAAGCACCGGCUAACUCCGUG